Long non-coding RNA from Myotis daubentonii (Daubenton's bat), 3770 nucleotides. RefSeq lists it as uncharacterized. Lineage: Eukaryota; Metazoa; Chordata; Mammalia; Chiroptera; Vespertilionidae. The transcript has 2 exons. The record is from RefSeq and is a predicted model, not a curated record.
UAUAUAUUUAAAUGCCAUUUAACAAAGAAAAAUCAACCAAAAAAAUGAGUUCACGGUUCAUAGGUUCGCCAUCACCGAUCUAAUGAAAGCCCUGGACAUGCCCUCUUCCCAGAAAAGUGUGCACAUGGACACCCCGAGCCCAUGUAUGAGCUCCCCAGGGCCUCUAAUGAUGCGUUUCAGGGCUACAUGAUAGAUUAAAUCUCCCAAAACAGAUAGUAACAGGGAUCAAUAAGGCUUGUUAAAAAUCAACCCUGUUAAUGUGGAACUGGAGCAGCCAAGCUGGAUGGCAGUUGUGAAAGAGUUAGAUUUGGGUUGGAGUAAUAGAGGCACAUGUUCACAAAAAGGGAGGUGAUGAGCCCUACCUGGUUUGGCUCAGUGGAUAGAGCAUUGGCCUGGGGACUGAAGGGUCCUAGGUUCAAUUCCUGGUCAGGGCACAUGCCUGGGUUGCAAGCUUGAUCCCCACAGGGGGGCGUGCAGGAAGCGGCCAAUCAAUGAUUCUCUCUCAUCAUUGAUGUUUCUAUCUCUCCCUCUCCAUUCUUUUCUGAACUCAAUAAAAAUAUAUUAAAAAAACAAAAAGGGAGGUGGUGAGCCAGCGUACACCCCACCCACAGGCCUGGCCCCGGUGCAUCACGGCAGUCCCAGGCCCUCGACACAAAAGGCUGCUGUCACACUGAGGGGGCCCAGAGGCAGCCCUCUGACGGGAGGGAUCCUAGUGGCCGUGUUGUUAGAGGCCUGGUUCAAGGAGACGAAGGUAAGACCGCUCGUCAGAGGUGUCAGAUGCCAACCAUCUGCAGCUCAUCUGGCUGCUUCUCAAGGGUCAAUGUUCUGGCCUAGAGUAAAAAACAGCUUUCUGACAAAGAUGUUCAAAGUGGUGGUGAACUUUCCAGCACAGGAAGUAUUCAAGCAGAGGCCCCUGAAUGGUGGAGGGGGGAGGGGGCCCUAAACUGGAGAGGGUGCUGGUGAGAGAAAUUAGGGGUGGUUGAUUCCAGGGCCACAACUUUGGGAUUGAAGACUCCCCAACAGUGAGGGUUCAGAGAGGGAGAGGGAGAGAGAAACAUCAAUGAUGGGAAUCAUUGGUCAGCUGCCUCCUGCGGGCCCCCCACUGGGGAUCGAGCCCACAAUCUGGGCAUGUGCCCUGAAUGGGUUCGGGAAUCGAACUGGGACCUCCUGGUUCACAGGUCAACACUCAGCCAUUGUGGAUUCAGCAGAUGAACCCUUUUGAGCUAGGAUCAUCCUGGCUGCCAACCUGUGGUGGUUUUUCCCAGCCUGGCCUCCCAGAGCUUUAGGCCUCUCCUUGGCCCUCCCCAGCCUGUGUCUCCAUAGCGGAGCCCAGCUUCCCUGGCUACUGAGGAGGUGCAGGUGGUCCUGGGGAAGAGCAGCCUGGCUGGCGGCAGCGCCUGCCCUCUAGUGGUCACAUGGAGAGUUGCUCACUUCAACUUCUGUCCGUCUACCUUCACCCCUCCAGUCUCCACCACUGCUCUGCUCCAAACCAAACGCAGGGAGCCUGGGCAGGACACUCCCAGCUGUGCUCACCCUCACCCCCUGCCAGCCCCGAGUUCCUCCUGCUUCCCUACUCCCAGGUCCUCUGGCCUCGGAGCCUGAGGCCAGUACUGCCCCCUCCCACUCUGGGAAUCCUCGUCCUAACCUCAUUGCAGCUGCAGAGACAGCCACAUACCCUGCCUGAUUUAGGACCAAAAAGCCCUCCCCUCCCUGGGAGUCUGGGUGCCCUGGAGCCCCACCCCCUGCCAGGAGAGGCAGGACGGGGGCAGGUGGGUUGGCUGCAAGACCAGGAACAGAGAGUCCUGAAUCGUGACCAGGAAGGCUGGGUUACAAGCUCACUCUCUGCCUCCACUUCCCCCUGCCCAGGCCCAGGGUCCGAGCCCAGCAGAUGAACCCUGCCCAGGCAUGCUUUGUCCGCAGUGCCUGCUGGGUCUAAAAGGUGGCCCGGGUGCUGCUGGAGUGAUGGUGGGACUCCAAAGCUUGCGGGGGACGGAUGUGCCUAAACCAGUGGUUCUCAACCUUCUGGCCCUUCAAAUACAGCUCCUCAUGUUGUGACCCAACCAUAAAAUUAUUUUCGUUGCUACUUCAUCACUGUAAUGUUGCUACUGUUAUGAAUCGUAAAUAUCUGAUAUGCAGGAUGGUCUUAGGCGACCCCUGGGAAAGGGUCGUUUGACCGCCAAAGGGGUCGCGACCCACAGGUUGAGAACCGCUGGCCUAAACUCUCACCCGCCCUGCCUGCCCCACCUGCCCCCUUCCCUGGAGAAUUGAGGAAUAAGGAUGCUUUUCCAAAGGAGUAGGAUGGUGCCUGCAGGUUAACACCCUGGUGAGUGUGGGGACCAGGGGCCGUAGGGGCCAGAACGGUACCUGGGGUCCCUGGACCAGCCAUUCCCUGCUCACCACUGCAACACCAUCUCCGACACUAUGGCAUCAAGGCCCGGGAGGAUGGUCGUUCCUGCCCUCAGCUCCGGAGGUGGAUCUGAGAGGAACAGAGAGCGGGCACUGCCAUUCAGUCCACAGGAGGGCUACACCGUGACCACCUGACCCCACAGAGAACCCUCAGGGCCUGCCCUGCCCAGACCUGGCACCACCCCUGGGCUCAGUCCUGCUGCCCACUGGGGCCCAGCCACAGCGGGUCACCGGGACCUUGGAGGCAGUUCCGGCUGCAGGCCAGCUCGGCUCAGCAGUUGCCAUGGAACCCUGGCACUUUUGCAGGCAAAAGCUAAAUAGCCAGAGUCCACCUGACAGGGGCCGAUACUGCCCCUAAGGGCACGGGGCACUUGGGGGAGGGUGCCUGGAGGCACUGCUGCCCAGUCUUGGGAGGGCAGCCCUAGCAAUCUGGGCUGCUGAGACGGGCACCCCAGCUCACCUGGAGCUCCUGCCUCCCUUCCCUCUAGCCUCCUGAAAGCGACAGAUGGUUCCAGGCAGAGCAGAGCCGGAGGACCACGGUAGAAGUGGCCCACUACCCUUCGUGUCCCACUGGUUCAACCUCUGGGUAAAGCCACGCUCUAGGAGUCCACAUCCUCCCAGAGCCAACUGAGUCUAGAAGAUGGUCAAAGGCAGAAACCACCAGCCCUGCCCAGAUCUACCCCAAACCAGGAGCCAGGGCCAGGCAGGCCAGGUGCAUCCAGUGCAGGGGACCUGGCUUACCUGAGGGGACUCCAGGGGGGCUGGAACACUCCUCCGCCCCCCACCACCACAGGCAUAUUAACCACACCCUCCAGUCAAAGCCACCUCAGCGGCACUCAGACACAGAGUGGUCCAGAAUGGCCAUUUUAAUGCAGAAAAAUCAAGAUAAUUUACAAAUGAAUUACUUUUUGGGCCCAGGCUGCGAGGGCAGAAAGGAGGUGGAGACUGUUGAGAGUCAGACAAUGAUGUCGGCACCUUCGGCCAGAUCCUACCCAGGCUGCAGCCUGCCAGGAGAGCCCUGGGCCCGGGCCUGCUGCUCAACUCCCGCUAGUCCACCCCAAGUGGGUGGCCAUGGAGACCGAUCCCGGGGAGGCAGGGGGAGGAACAAGGCUGCUGGCCCUUGCCCUCUGGCCAAGCCACAGCAGGAAGUAGAGCCAGGCUCCGGAGGCCCAGCACGUUGGCGCUCCCCGGCCUUCCUCCCAGCAGGCUGCAGAGGGGCAGCGCAGAGCAGAGGGCACAGGACGAGCCCCUGGACUGAGGUUUGGAAAGGGGCUGUUUGAUUGGAUCUGGCUCGGAGAACGAUCGCAGAUGAGGCAGUUGCUAGGGAGGUCUCAAACCCUUCUAGAACCCUCCCUCCCACCCCC